This 477-nucleotide ribosomal RNA is filed under the name Bacillus subtilis. RNAcentral describes it as "bacterial SSU rRNA". It matches the Rfam family "Bacterial small subunit ribosomal RNA", at positions 925 to 1398 of the family's 1533-position model. The record is from RNAcentral. Lineage: Bacteria; Bacillati; Bacillota; Bacilli; Caryophanales; Bacillaceae.
AUUAUUCUUGCCGCCGCAUCGGGCUGGGUUAUUCAUUGCACGCGUAGACCUUACCAGGUCUUGACAUCCUCUGACAAUCCUAGAGAUAGGACGUCCCCUUCGGGGGCAGAGUGACAGGUGGUGCAUGGUUGUCGUCAGCUCGUGUCGUGAGAUGUUGGGUUAAGUCCCGCAACGAGCGCAACCCUUGAUCUUAGUUGCCAGCAUUCAGUUGGGCACUCUAAGGUGACUGCCGGUGACAAACCGGAGGAAGGUGGGGAUGACGUCAAAUCAUCAUGCCCCUUAUGACCUGGGCUACACACGUGCUACAAUGGACAGAACAAAGGGCAGCGAAACCGCGAGGUUAAGCCAAUCCCACAAAUCUGUUCUCAGUUCGGAUCGCAGUCUGCAACUCGACUGCGUGAAGCUGGAAUCGCUAGUAAUCGCGGAUCAGCAUGCCGCGGUGAAUACGUUCCCGGGCCUUGUACAACCCCGCCCGUA